AACGAACGCUGGCGGCAUGCCUAACACAUGCCAGUCGAACGAGACCUUCGGGUCUAGUGGCGCACGGGUGCGUAACGCGUGGGAACCUGCCCUUAGGUUCGGAAUAACUCCCCGAAAGGGGUGCUAAUACCGGAUAAUGUCUUCGGACCAAAGAUUUAUCGCCUUUGGAUGGGCCCGCGUUGGAUUAGCUAGUUGGUAGGGUAAAAGCCUACCAAGGCGACGAUCCAUAGCUGGUCUGAGAGGAUGAUCAGCCACACUGGGACUGAGACACGGCCCAGACUCCUACGGGAGGCAGCAGUGGGGAAUAUUGGACAAUGGGCGAAAGCCUGAUCCAGCAAUGCCGCGUGAGUGAUGAAGGCCUUGGGGUUGUAAAGCUCUUUUACCCGGGAUGAUAAUGACAGUACCGGGAGAAUAAGCUCCGGCUAACUCCGUG
This 433-nucleotide ribosomal RNA is filed under the name uncultured bacterium. RNAcentral describes it as "partial 16S ribosomal RNA". It matches the Rfam family "Bacterial small subunit ribosomal RNA", at positions 29 to 507 of the family's 1533-position model. The record is from RNAcentral.